Long non-coding RNA from Oncorhynchus tshawytscha (Chinook salmon), 2481 nucleotides. The record is from Ensembl. Lineage: Eukaryota; Metazoa; Chordata; Actinopteri; Salmoniformes; Salmonidae.
CUCUACUGCAACCCGCCUCACCCAAUGUGCUACGGAUCUGCUAUUUUUUACACAACAUAGCAAUUAAACACUAGAAUGGUAUAAUGUGCAGGAGAUGAAUAUGCAAGUAGAGAUACUGGGGUGCAAAGGAGCAAGAUACUGUGUGGUGGUGAGCCAGACGACGGCUCCGAUGCUCGGUCUUUCUGUGAUGAACACCACAUUCAUUGAGAAUGUGACAGACACAACCACAUUCAGUGAGACCCCUACAGUCAGUGAGACCCCUACAGUCAGUGAGACCCCUACAUUCAAUGAGGAAGUGACAGCAUCCCCCCAUAUGAUCCUCAGCACCACGUCCCCAGGCUGCUCUGCCCUCUGUGAGGCCUGUGUCCCAGGGUCCUACUCCGACAAAGACACCCUCCUGUGUUCCUGCUGCCGUGAGCCAGGGUUGUGUCUGUUCACUGAGGCUUGCCUCCCAUGUUCCAGAGGGUUCUUUCAGAGUCUGGCUGGACAACAGCGAUGUCUGCCCUGCAGCCAGGGUUUUUACACCAAUUUCACCGGCAGCACUGUGUGUCAGUCCUGCCCCGCAGGCUCCUACAGCAACAACACAGGCUCCGACUCCUGCCAAAGUUGUUCUCCAGGUUUCUAUAUGUCUCAACAAAAUGCCACAUUGUGCAGUCCAUGUCAACGAGGAACAUUCUGCAACUCCUCCAGUUGUGCUCUGUGCCAGAUCUGUCCUGCUGGUACAGAGUCCCUCCAGGCUGCUGCCAAGGAGUGCACACCUUGUCGUCCAGGCCUGCACAAGGCUCCCCGUCAGAGUAUGUGUCAAAUCUGCAGCAGCGGCUUCUUCCAGAUCCACUGGGGCCAGGAGACCUGUAACCUCUGCCCCGAAAACCACUACUGCCCAAGUCCAGACGUGAACCCCAUCCGGUGCCCUGGCGUUGCCUUCUGUCCUGAAGGCAGCACUGCUCCAGGUUACUGCAUGGAGACCUUCUUCCGCAAGGCAGGGGAGAACUGCGAGCUGGCCCCUAUCACCAUUGCUCUACUUGUCAUUGGAGGAGGGGUGGCCCUACUCUUUGUCAUCCUACUGGUGUUGUGUCGAAUGCGAGACACAGGUGGAGAGCUUUCCCUCGCGCGACAAUUUCUGUUAACCAAAGAGAGGCCGCAAGGUGUAUACUACGGGAUCCCAUGUGACGCCGAGCCAGUAUAUGCUGGUUGGUGAACAUGUCCCCACCCUCAUCUGAUACUUCCUAUUAUUGGGGUGAAAUGUCUGGCUUUUAGAGCAGAAUCAAGGGAAGUCUAUGUGCCUCAGUUGUGGACUAAUGGACCAUAAGAGAAAGCAGACACCAAAUCCUAGCCAUGGUUUACCGAAUGUCCAUUUGAGUACUUUUGAUAACUCACCAGCUUUCCUGUGAUUUAUAUCUUCUAGAUGUAUUUUUAACAAGCAUAAGUGUUUUUCAUCUGUAUUCUGUGCUUUAGUGAAUGUGGAUCCCGUUACAUUUGUUAAAAAUAAGAAAAAAUGUCAUCAAUUGAAUUUACCUUUGCAUUCCUUUAGAUUAAUUAGGUAAAUGGUUUAAAGAGGCACACACUGGAUGGUUUAGGAGGGUUGAAAAUGGAGCUUGCGGGCCUCUAAGGACUUGGUGGAGACCUUGUGUUAUGAAAAUCACUUUUGUUGAUGUUUGUAAAUGCAUUCAGUCAUGGUACAUCGAUGGGUGUUUAACUUAUGCUUUGAAGAUUGUUUUAAGUAAAUGUUCCCCUCUGUCACAGAAAUAAUCUAUUUGCUGGUUAUACAUAUGAAUCAUUUUGGUGAUCUGAGGUACUAUGUGUUAUUUUAUUUUCUGUUUGAACGGCAUCACAUCUAUGUUCAUCAAUAGAAAUGUUUUUGACCAAUGCUAUUUAAAAGAAAAUUAUAUUUGUAAGUUUUAGAGAAAAGUACUGACUCUGACUGGAAUAAAGCAUAGCCAUGCACUACUCUCAAGUGAAAUUCUGUUAUGAUAUAAUUACUAGCGUAUAAAACAGGAUACAGACUGAAGUUAUAUCUUUCCCGACUUCAAUGAUCUUUUAAAAAUUGGUGGUGUCAUCAGCCAAUUGUAAAAUUUGAUCUCUUUAUCUUGUAUCAGAAUAGCCCUAAAGCGAUCCUUAUUGAUGUGAAGUGCCAUUACUUGUGUGACCAAUAAAAAUAAGAAAGGAGAAAUUGGGAAUCCUUGUUUAAUUAUGCGUCUAAUAUGUAUUCUCUGUGAGGUUCCAUGGGAUAAUUGAACAGAGCUAUUACAGAGCUAUUAUACUUUGAAAAUAUUGACCAAAACCAAAUAAUUGUGUUUAACCGUAUCAAAAGAAAGUCUACAAAUAAAAUAAAGCUAUCUUCUAAUAAUGUGCUCACUGUAGUCUAUCAAGUCCAAUACUAGUCGGAUAUUAUUACAUGUCUGCCCUUCAUAAAACCAAACUGGGUCCUCUGGGUGUAAACUCUGUGGAUUUGUUAAGUAGAAGUGCUCUUGAGUAGAAUGG